RNAcentral lists this ribosomal RNA (323 nucleotides) under Euglyphida sp. RNAcentral's name for it is "SSU rRNA". The stretch from base 108 to 323 matches the Rfam family "Eukaryotic small subunit ribosomal RNA", at positions 738 to 955 of the family's 1831-position model. Lineage: Eukaryota; Cercozoa; Imbricatea; Euglyphida. The record is from RNAcentral.
GAUUUCUGGUUGACCACCCUGGCCCGCUUCUUUCGGGAAGUGAGUGCUGGUGUGAGUCUUCCAUCCUUCUAGAGAGCCGUGCCUGCUGUUCACUCAGCUGGGCGUGUGCGAUCUAGAUCUUUUACUUUGAAAAAAUUAGAGUGUUUAAAGCAGGCUUACGCUGUGAAUACAUUAGCAUGGAAUAAUAAUUUAGGACUUCGGUUCUAUUUUGUUGGUUUCUAGGACUGAAGUAAUGAUUGAUAGGGAUAGUUGGGGGUGCUAGUAUUCAGCGGCCAGAGGUGAAAUUCUCGGAUUCGCUGAAGACUAACUUAUGCGAAAGCAUU